Long non-coding RNA from Mercurialis annua (annual mercury), 960 nucleotides. RefSeq lists it as uncharacterized. The transcript has 3 exons. The record is from RefSeq and is a predicted model, not a curated record. NCBI's taxonomy places the organism in Eukaryota, Viridiplantae, Streptophyta, Magnoliopsida, Malpighiales, Euphorbiaceae.
UCUGUUAUGGAACUUGUUAUCUCAACAAUAGUAUUAACAAUGUCACAUAAAGUAACAUGACUUGCUCACAUAAAAUUUGCAGGGUCGACAAGCCAGAAAGCUGCCGAUGGUCUUCUGGAUCGAGUAAUAGAACUAAUUGGUCAUUCCAGUCAAGUACUUGAUUUUCUGCAUAAACCAUGGCAUAACCUUCUCUGCUUUUCUUCCGUGGGAAGCUCAAAGAAUUGCUUGCUAACUGGACACACAAUCCAUACUGCUUGGAUCAAGGUGUCCCAUCCCUCGCUUGAGUGUAUCCUUGUUCGGGUAAUAUUGAAGGAAAUGGCCAACAUAAUUUCUCACCUUCUUAUAAAGUCUAGGCCUUGUCUCGUUGACCAAUCCAUCUAAAGGCUCGAUCUCAUUAUCAGGAUCUGGAUGAUAAAAUACAGCUAGAGAUAACCUCUCCCUUUCGGGGUUUAUCACCACCCUAUGUACCGGACUCUUGAACAUUCCGUUGCUCAUUAUCUGCGUGUAUCAUCACAAUUUGUUAGUAAAUGAAAAAACAAGUGAAGUUGGAUUUAGGGUAGCUAGAAAGUACCUCUACUUGAUCGCCAAUGUUAAUGAGAAGAGCUUCAGGAAUGAUAGGAACUCUAAACCAUUGAUCAUCUUUCAGAAUUUGAAGGCCUUCAACUUCCGUGUCUUGAAGGACAAAAGUAAUUGCCGAUGAAUCUGAAUGCGGUUUCAGGCCUAGAACUAGAUCAUACCUCGAACAAGGAGGAUAGAAAUUAAAUCUUGAUCCCAUUCUUGCUCCAACUCCGCAUUUUUUCAGAAAACAGUGAUCAUCCAAGUUUAGGGACAUAGCCAUUGCCUUGAGGACAACCGCAGUCAUCUGCUGGUUUUGAGGCCAGAAUCGGAGCUGUCGUUGGUCUUCCGGGAUUAGUGAAAGAACCAAUCGGUCAUUCCAGUCCUGUACUUGAUUUUGUGCAG